UUAAUGGAGAGUUUGAUCCUGGCUCAGGACGAACGCUGGCGGCGUGCCUAAUACAUGCAAGUCGAGCGAGGGUUUUCGGACCCUAGCGGCGGACGGGUGAGUAA
RNAcentral lists this ribosomal RNA (104 nucleotides) under Brevibacillus laterosporus. Its description in RNAcentral is "partial 16S ribosomal RNA". It matches the Rfam family "Bacterial small subunit ribosomal RNA", at positions 1 to 113 of the family's 1533-position model. Lineage: Bacteria; Bacillati; Bacillota; Bacilli; Caryophanales; Paenibacillaceae. The record is from RNAcentral. RNAcentral also lists the same sequence under 1 other name.